Molecule: ribosomal RNA, 426 nt
Filed under: uncultured Pseudomonadaceae bacterium
Lineage: Bacteria; Pseudomonadati; Pseudomonadota; Gammaproteobacteria; Pseudomonadales; Pseudomonadaceae
Description: bacterial SSU rRNA
Rfam family: Bacterial small subunit ribosomal RNA
Source: RNAcentral
GGGGAAUAUUGGACAAUGGGCGAAAGCCUGAUCCAGCCAUGCCGCGUGUGUGAAGAAGGUCUUCGGAUUGUAAAGCACUUUAAGUUGGGAGGAAGGGCAGUAAGUUAAUACCUUGCUGUUUUGACGUUACCAACAGAAUAAGCACCGGCUAACUUCGUGCCAGCAGCCGCGGUAAUACGAAGGGUGCAAGCGUUAAUCGGAAUUACUGGGCGUAAAGCGCGCGUAGGUGGUUUGGUAAGAUGGAUGUGAAAUCCCCGGGCUCAACCUGGGAACUGCAUCCAUAACUGCCUGACUAGAGUACGGUAGAGGGUGGUGGAAUUUCCUGUGUAGCGGUGAAAUGCGUAGAGAUUUGGAGGAACACCAGUGGCGAAGGCGACUUUCUGGUCUGCAACUGACGCUGAGGCGCGAAAGCAUGGGGAGCAAACA